This 76-nucleotide transfer RNA is filed under the name Patescibacteria group bacterium. RNAcentral describes it as "tRNA-Ser". The record is from RNAcentral.
GCGGCGGUGGGUGUGAGCGGCAGCACACCUCGAAACAGAGGCCGAGGGGAGCGGGUUCGAGACCCGCACCGCUGCC